Molecule: ribosomal RNA, 492 nt
Filed under: uncultured bacterium
Lineage: Bacteria
Description: partial 16S ribosomal RNA
Rfam family: Bacterial small subunit ribosomal RNA
Source: RNAcentral
AGUGAACGCUGGCGGUAGGCCUAACACAUGCAAGUCGAACGGCAGCACAGUAAGAGCUUGCUCUUACGGGUGGCGAGUGGCGGACGGGUGAGGAAUACAUCGGAAUCUACUUUUUCGUGGGGGAUAACGUAGGGAAACUUACGCUAAUACCGCAUACGACCUACGGGUGAAAGCAGGGGAUCUUCGGACCUUGCGCGAUUGAAUGAGCCGAUGUCGGAUUAGCUAGUUGGCGGGGUAAAGGCCCACCAAGGCGACGAUCCGUAGCUGGUCUGAGAGGAUGAGCAGCCACACUGGAACUGAGACACGGUCCAGACUCCUACGGGAGGCAGCAGUGGGGAAUAUUGGACAAUGGGCGCAAGCCUGAUCCAGCCAUACCGCGUGGGUGAAGAAGGCCUUCGGGUUGUAAAGCCCUUUUGUUGGGAAAGAAAAGCAGCAGGUUAAUACCCCGCUGUUCUGACGGUACCCAAAGAAUAAGCACCGGCUAACUUCGCG